Non-coding RNA from Araneus ventricosus, 70 nucleotides. NCBI's taxonomy places the organism in Eukaryota, Metazoa, Arthropoda, Arachnida, Araneae, Araneidae. The record is from the annotation of a GenBank genome assembly.
UGGCCCCAUGGGAUCGACCUCGACCUUCGCGUUUGACACGACGCUCUAUCACCAACUGAGCUAUAGGGAC